RNAcentral lists this ribosomal RNA (253 nucleotides) under uncultured bacterium. Its description in RNAcentral is "partial 16S ribosomal RNA". It matches the Rfam family "Bacterial small subunit ribosomal RNA", at positions 524 to 776 of the family's 1533-position model. The record is from RNAcentral.
CACGUAGGGCGCAAGCGUUGUCCGGAAUUAUUGGGCGUAAAGAGCUCGUAGGCGGUUUGUCGCGUCGAAUGUGAAAACCCGGGGCUCAACUCCGGGCCUGCAUUCGAUACGGGCAGACUAGAGUUCGGUAGGGGAGACUGGAAUUCCUGGUGUAGCGGUGAAAUGCGCAGAUAUCAGGAGGAACACCGGUGGCGAAGGCGGGUCUCUGGGCCGAUACUGACGCUGAGGAGCGAAAGCGUGGGGAGCAAACAGG